RNAcentral lists this ribosomal RNA (380 nucleotides) under uncultured eukaryote. Its description in RNAcentral is "partial 18S ribosomal RNA". It matches the Rfam family "Eukaryotic small subunit ribosomal RNA", at positions 592 to 976 of the family's 1831-position model. The record is from RNAcentral.
CAAUAGCGUAUAUUAAAGUUGUUGCGGUUAAAAAGCUCGUAGUUGGAUUUCUGCUGAGAACGACCGGUCCGCCCUUUGGGUGUGUAUCUGGCUCUUUCUUGGCAUCUUCUUGGUGAACGUUGCUGCACUUGACUGUGUGGAGCGCUACCCAGGACUUUUACUUUGAGGAAAUUAGAGUGUUUCAAGCAGGCAUACGCCUUGAAUACAUUAGCAUGGAAUAAUAAGAUAGGACCUCGGUUCUAUUUUGUUGGUUUCUAGAGCUGAGGUAAUGAUUAAUAGGGAUAGUUGGGGGCAUUCGUAUUUAACUGUCAGAGGUGAAAUUCUUGGAUUUGUUAAAGACGGACUACUGCAAAAGCAUUUGCCAAGGAUGUUUUCAUUGA